CGGCACGGGUGAGUAACACGUAUCCAACCUGCCGUCUACUCUUGGACAGCCUUCUGAAAGGAAGAUUAAUACAAGAUGGCAUCAUGAGUCCGCAUGUUCACAUGAUUAAAGGUAUUCCGGUAGACGAUGGGGAUGCGUUCCAUUAGAUAGUGGGCGGGGUAACGGCCCACCUAGUCUUCGAUGGAUAGGGGUUCUGAGAGGAAGGUCCCCCACAUUGGAACUGAGACACGGUCCAA
This 236-nucleotide ribosomal RNA is filed under the name uncultured bacterium. RNAcentral describes it as "partial 16S ribosomal RNA". It matches the Rfam family "Bacterial small subunit ribosomal RNA", at positions 100 to 334 of the family's 1533-position model. The record is from RNAcentral.